GGAGGGUUGCGCCGAACGGUAAGGCACUGGUUUCGAAAACCAGCGGGAGUAAUCCCUUAGAGGUUCGAGUCCUCUACCCUCCG
RNAcentral lists this transfer RNA (83 nucleotides) under Candidatus Spechtbacteria bacterium RIFCSPHIGHO2_01_FULL_43_30. RNAcentral's name for it is "tRNA-Ser". It matches the Rfam family "tRNA". From Rfam's summary of the family: Transfer RNA (tRNA) molecules are approximately 80 nucleotides in length. The record is from RNAcentral. RNAcentral also lists the same sequence under 1 other name. Lineage: Bacteria; Candidatus Spechtiibacteriota.